This 538-nucleotide long non-coding RNA is filed under the name Gallus gallus (chicken). RNAcentral's name for it is "lncRNA (ENSGALG00010019560.1)". The record is from RNAcentral. Lineage: Eukaryota; Metazoa; Chordata; Aves; Galliformes; Phasianidae.
CUCCUCCCGGCAUUGUCCCGCGGCCGCCGUCGGGCUCUUAAGCCCGGCCGCCCUGGGGCACGGCCGCAGCAGCUCUUCCGCGGCCCUCGCCCGAGCUGCUGGUGCCUUCAUCAGCCAUGUGCCCAGAGCUGGGAUGGAUCCUGCCCUGGAGGCUGGGGUUCCUGGUGGAGCGUGGUCCCAGAUCACUGUGACACACCAGAUUGGUCAACUCCUGUGCCUGAGCAAUGUCAUCAUGGUGCUGGCUGGAAGGAGCCGUGCAGGAGCACUGUGAAGAGACUUUCCAGGAAUGUUUCUGCAUGGAAAGCCAACACGUCUGCCUUGCAGGACUGAGGGAAGGAGGAGGGAUGGUGACUUGAUCGGUGAAGUCAGUGUGAGACUUCCCAUUGAUUCCAGCGGGUGCUGACCUCUAUGGGCUGAGACAGCAGCCUCAGCAUUGAGCUUGAACCUCACACAAUGGGACCCUUAUCCACAGUGAGGCCACAAAAUGCUGUUGCAUCCUAAAUAAAUUCACAUGAAACCAUCACACGGCAGUUUUCUU